RNAcentral lists this non-coding RNA (125 nucleotides) under Sciurus vulgaris (Eurasian red squirrel). The record is from RNAcentral. Lineage: Eukaryota; Metazoa; Chordata; Mammalia; Rodentia; Sciuridae.
GUGUUGUAUGAAAGGAGAGAAGGUUAGCACUCCCCUUGACAAGGAUGGAGAGGCCCUCGGGCCUGAAAACACACAUACGGUUAAGGCAUUGCCGCCUGCUUCGUGGCAUCUAACCACUGUUUUUU